RNAcentral lists this ribosomal RNA (468 nucleotides) under uncultured bacterium. Its description in RNAcentral is "partial 16S ribosomal RNA". It matches the Rfam family "Bacterial small subunit ribosomal RNA", at positions 28 to 507 of the family's 1533-position model. The record is from RNAcentral.
GACGAACGCUGGCGGCGUGCUUAACACAUGCAAGUCGAACGGAAAGGCCCUGCUUUUGUGGGGUGCUCGAGUGGCGAACGGGUGAGUAACACGUGAGUAACCUGCCCUUGACUUUGGGAUAACUUCAGGAAACUGGGGCUAAUACCGGAUAGGAGCUCCUGCUGCAUGGUGUGUGUUGGAAAGUUUCGGCGGUUGGGGAUGGACUCGCGGCUUAUCAGCUUGUUGGUGGGGUAGUGGCUUACCAAGGCGUUGACGGGUAGCCGGCCUGAGAGGGUGACCGGCCACAUUGGGACUGAGAUACGGCCCAGACUCCUACGGGAGGCAGCAGUGGGGAAUAUUGCACAAUGGGCGGAAGCCUGAUGCAGCAACGCCGCGUGCGGGAUGACGGCCUUCGGGUUGUAAACCGCUUUCGCCUGUGACGAAGCGAGAGUGACGGUAAUGGGUAAAGAAGCACCGGCUAACUACGUG